RNAcentral lists this ribosomal RNA (441 nucleotides) under uncultured soil bacterium. Its description in RNAcentral is "bacterial SSU rRNA". It matches the Rfam family "Bacterial small subunit ribosomal RNA", at positions 26 to 472 of the family's 1533-position model. The record is from RNAcentral.
AGAUUGAACGCUGGCGGCAUGCCUUACACAUGCAAGUCGAACGGCAGCACGGGGGCAACCCUGGUGGCGAGUGGCGAACGGGUGAGUAAUGCAUCGGAACGUGCCCAGUAGUGGGGGAUAACUAGUCGAAAGAUUAGCUAAUACCGCAUACGACCUAUGGGUGAAAGCGGGGGAUUCGCAAGAACCUCGCGCUAUCGGAGCGGCCGAUGUCUGAUUAGCUAGUUGGCGGGGUAAAAGCCCACAACGGCGACGAUCAGUAGCUGGUCUGAGAGGACGACCAGCCACACUGGACUGAGACACGGCCCAGACUCCUACGGGAGCAGCAGUGGGAAUUUGGACAAUGGGCGCAAGCCUGACUCCAGCCAUGCCGCGUGCGGGAAGAGGCCUUGGUGUAACCGCUUUUUGGCAGGAACGAACGCGCGAGCGAAUAUCUCGCGUUAA